CCAAACUGUAUUGUCUUCCGCUCGCCGUCUACAAUGGCCGAAUUUGCUCCAAUCUGUUGCCUCUUCACUAUUUGAAGGAGCUAAUGUAUAAGGACGAUCAUGACACACUUAGGCUGACUUGGGGCCUUAGUGACUUAAAAUCAAGCAAGACAAGUUUAAUUUAUGUUCCGUUUUAUGUUUGAACAAAGACAAUGUAAUCACUUUAAUUAAUAAAACCAAACUUUAAGUA
Long non-coding RNA from Helianthus annuus (common sunflower), 229 nucleotides. RefSeq lists it as uncharacterized. The transcript has 2 exons. The record is from RefSeq and is a predicted model, not a curated record. NCBI's taxonomy places the organism in Eukaryota, Viridiplantae, Streptophyta, Magnoliopsida, Asterales, Asteraceae.